CACAACCUCCUCUCCGUCUGAAGUCCUGUUGGACAUCAGGGCGAAUUUUUUUUCCUAAACAAAAUCGGACUUGUCAGAACAAACAAUUUUCCCGGAUUUAUCGCUGGUCGAGACCCAAGUUGUAAAACAAAACGAUCUUGAUGCAAUAUUUACGUGGAUUUAAGUUACUGUAUCGUGUCAGCCUUCUCUUUCAGCUUGUAGCAACCAACCAAAUGGAACAAGCAGCUAUGAACCCAGACAGCAUUCAGCAUCUUAUAUCAAUGGCCAGACUGGAGACCCCAAGGAUGAGAUCAAGGACAAUGGAAGGUCUUCAGAUUUUUACUUGAAACCUGCUGCCUUAUAUGGAUGACAUCACCAUUAGAAACAGAUCAGAUAUUUCAACAUACUUGCUAGAUGAACAAGAAUUCUUAAGCUUUAAAAAGAAGACAUUCAGAAAAACUCAGAUGCCUCUGCUAUACUUUUGUUUUAUAUGAAUUGCCUAAGAUGACAAUUACAAGAGCAUAAAAUGAAAUUUAAAGAAAGUAGUGGUACAAAGUGAGAUAAUGGACAUUUACAUGGAUUUGUCAUUUUUAUUACACACAGAUGUAACAUGGAUAAGACAUUUGACUCAGGUUUACAAAAGGUUGUUGUCACAAAUAGCAAUAAAAGUGUCACUUUUGAAUUA
Pocillopora verrucosa is the source of this 664-nucleotide long non-coding RNA. RefSeq lists it as uncharacterized. The record is from RefSeq and is a predicted model, not a curated record. Lineage: Eukaryota; Metazoa; Cnidaria; Anthozoa; Scleractinia; Pocilloporidae.